This 442-nucleotide ribosomal RNA is filed under the name uncultured bacterium. Its description in RNAcentral is "partial 16S ribosomal RNA". It matches the Rfam family "Bacterial small subunit ribosomal RNA", at positions 338 to 795 of the family's 1533-position model. The record is from RNAcentral.
CCUACGGGAUGCAGCAGUAGGGAAUCUUUCACAAUGGGCGAAAGCCUGAUGGAGCAACGCCGCGUGCACGAUGAAGGCCUUCGGGUUGUAAACUGCUUUUAUAAGCGAGAAAUAUGAUGGUAACUUAUGAAUAAGGAUCUGCUAACUACGUGCCAGCAGCCGCGGUCAUACGUAGGAGCCGAGCAUUAUCAGGAGGGACGGGGUGUAAAGAUUUGCGUAGAUGGCAUAGUAAGUAGCUAGUGAAAUCUGUUGGCUCAACAAUUCAGACUAUUAGCUAAACUACUAAUCUAGAGACAGAUAGAGGUAACCGGAAUUUCUAGUGUAGGAGUGAAAUCCGUAGAUAUUAGAAGGAACACCAAUGGCGUAGGCAGGUUACUGGGACGGUUCUGACACUAAGGGACGAAAGCGUAGGGAGCAAACGGGAUUAGAUACCCUUGUAGUC